This 468-nucleotide ribosomal RNA is filed under the name uncultured bacterium. RNAcentral's name for it is "partial 16S ribosomal RNA". It matches the Rfam family "Bacterial small subunit ribosomal RNA", at positions 28 to 507 of the family's 1533-position model. The record is from RNAcentral.
GACGAACGCUGGCGGCGUGCUUAACACAUGCAAGUCGAACGGAAAGGCCCUGCUUUUGUGGGGUGCUCGAGUGGCGAACGGGUGAGUAACACGUGAGUAACCUGCCCUUGACUUUGGGAUAACUUCAGGAAACUGGGGCUAAUACCGGAUAGGAGCUCCUGCUGCAUGGUGGGGGUUGGAAAGUUUCGGCGGUUGGGGAUGGACUCGCGGCUUAUCAGCUUGUUGGUGGGGUAGUGGCUUACCAAGGCUUUGACGGGUAGCCGGCCUGAGGGGGUGACCGGCCACGUUGGGACUGAGAUACGGCCCAGACUCCUACGGGAGGCAGCAGUGGGGAAUAUUGCACAAUGGGCGGAAGCCUGAUGCAGCAACGCCGCGUGCGGGAUGACGGCCUUCGGGUUGUAAACCGCUUUCGCCUGUGACGAAGCGUGAGUGACGGUAAUGGGUAAAGAAGCACCGGCUAACUACGUG